GACGAACGCUGGCGGCGCGCCUAACACAUGCAAGUCGAACGAGCGAGAGAGAGCUUGCUUUCUCAAGCGAGUGGCGAACGGGUGAGUAACGCGUGAGGAACCUGCCUCAAAGAGGGGGACAACAGUUGGAAACGACUGCUAAUACCGCAUAAGUCCACAGCUCGGCAUCGAGCAGAGGGAAAAGGAGUGAUCCGCUUUGAGAUGGCCUCGCGUCCGAUUAGCUAGUUGGUGAGGUAACGGCUCACCAAGGCGACGAUCAGUAGCCGGUCUGAGAGGAUGAACGGCCACAUUGGGACUGAGAUACGGCCCAG
This 311-nucleotide ribosomal RNA is filed under the name uncultured bacterium. RNAcentral's name for it is "bacterial SSU rRNA". It matches the Rfam family "Bacterial small subunit ribosomal RNA", at positions 28 to 334 of the family's 1533-position model. The record is from RNAcentral.